This 1247-nucleotide ribosomal RNA is filed under the name metagenome. Its description in RNAcentral is "bacterial LSU rRNA". It matches the Rfam family "Bacterial large subunit ribosomal RNA", at positions 1689 to 2925 of the family's 2925-position model. The record is from RNAcentral.
UCGAGUGAAUCGUGGUUAAGGAAUUCGGCAAAAUACCCCCGUAACUUCGGGAGAAGGGGGGCCCAGAGGGUGACGGGACUUGCUCCCCGAGCCUGAACGGCCGCAGAGACCAGGGAGAAGCGACUGUUUACUAAAAACACAGGUCCGUGCCAAGUCGCAAGACGAUGUAUACGGACUGACGCCUGCCCGGUGCUGGAACGUUAAGGGGACCGGUUAGCCUCACGGCGAAGCUGAGAACUUAAGCGCCAGUAAACGGCGGUGGUAACUAUAACCAUCCUAAGGUAGCGAAAAUCCUUGUCGGGUAGUUCCGACCUGCACGAAUGGCGUAACGACUUCUCCACUGUCUCAACCACGAACUCGGCGAAAUUGCACUACGAGUAAAGAUGCUCGUUACGCGCAGAAGGACGGAAAGACCCCGGGACCUUUACUACAGCUUGGUAUUGGUGUUCGGUACGGCUUGUGUAGGAUAGGUGGGAGACUGUGAAGCUGACACGCCAGCGUCGGUGGAGUCAACGUUGAAAUACCACUCUGGUCGUUCUGGAUAUCUAACCUAGGUCCGUAAUCCGGAUCAGGGACAGUGCCUGGUGGGUAGUUUAACUGGGGCGGUUGCCUCCUAAAAGGUAACGGAGGCGCCCAAAGGUUCCCUCAGCCUGGUUGGCAAUCAGGUUUCGAGUGUAAGUGCACAAGGGAGCUUGACUGUGAGACUGACAAGUCGAACAGGGACGAAAGUCGGGACUAGUGAUCCGGCGGUGGCUUGUGGAAGCGCCGUCGCUCAACGGAUAAAAGGUACCCCGGGGAUAACAGGCUGAUCUUGCCCAAGAGUCCAUAUCGACGGCAUGGUUUGGCACCUCGAUGUCGGCUCGUCGCAUCCUGGGGCUGGAGUAGGUCCCAAGGGUUGGGCUGUUCGCCCAUUAAAGCGGUACGCGAGCUGGUUUUAGAACGUCGUGAGACAGUUCGGUCCCUAUCCUCUGCGCGCGCAGGAAACUUGAGAAGGGCUGUCCCUAGUACGAGAGGACCGGGAUGGACGAACCUCUGGUGUGUCAGUUGUUCUGCCAAGAGCACCGCUGAUUAGCUACGUUCGGGAGUGAUAACCGCUGAAAGCAUCUAAGCGGGAAGCAUGCUUCAAGAUGAGGUUUCCAUGGGUUUACCCCGAGAGGCUCCCAGCUAGACUACUGGGUUGAUAGGCCGGAUGUGGAAGUGCGGUAACGCAUGGAGCUGACCGGUACUAAUAAGCCGAUAACUUGAUU